This 77-nucleotide transfer RNA is filed under the name Ectothiorhodospiraceae bacterium. Its description in RNAcentral is "tRNA-Arg". It matches the Rfam family "tRNA". From Rfam's summary of the family: Transfer RNA (tRNA) molecules are approximately 80 nucleotides in length. Their secondary structure includes four short double-helical elements and three loops (D, anti-codon, and T loops). Lineage: Bacteria; Pseudomonadati; Pseudomonadota; Gammaproteobacteria; Chromatiales; Ectothiorhodospiraceae. The record is from RNAcentral.
GCGCCCGUAGCUCAGCUGGAUAGAGUACCUGGCUACGAACCAGGUGGUCACACGUUCGAAUCGUGUCGGGCGCACCA